Melitaea cinxia (Glanville fritillary) is the source of this 1057-nucleotide long non-coding RNA. RefSeq lists it as uncharacterized. Lineage: Eukaryota; Metazoa; Arthropoda; Insecta; Lepidoptera; Nymphalidae. The record is from RefSeq and is a predicted model, not a curated record. The transcript has 3 exons.
AACACUGGACAUGACGCCGUUUUAAGACUGCAUUAGUUCGUCUGUCAUAAAAAUGUUUUUUGGACUAAAAUUGUUACUUUUCUGUUAAAACGUGUGUGUUUUAGUGAUUUUGUUGAUAUAUAAAGAUCCCGACAAAGAUAUUGAUCGCUUUAGGACCUGGAUAUAUAAAUUUUGGAGCCUUUGGAGGUGAUAUUUUGGCUAAAGAUAAUGAAUACAUCUUUAAGAACAGAAGACUGCCAUUUACAUUUUGAGGUUAAAUAUCACAUCAGGAGCAGAAUGCUUUGUGCUAAUGCUGUCCCCACGCUUUAUUUAACAAAAUUUUCUUUUGUUUGAAAGCACCCCCGAAUUGACGUAACUAACCAACCUUUGAAUAUUCCUCUUGCUACAACUUCAACAUCAGGCACCUUCAAGAAGCAUCCAGGGCUAAACAAGCAAAAGCUGUUGAAAGAAAUAAAGAAAAAGCAGAAAGACAAAGACUCUAUAAACAUUGGCUAAAUAAAGAAAAAACUAUCAACAAAUUCUUCAUUUCAGAAUACUUUGAAAAAGUUUAAAACCUUGGCUACUAUUUUUACAAUAAUGCAAUUAAGAAAAAUAUCUAAACCUAUAAUGGGACGAAGAUUUACAAAAGAAGAAAAGACAAUAGCUCUAUCUUUAUACGAGCUGGGACUUCGAGCUUAUAGGUGGCUCAUCAAAAGUGGCUUCGUCUUGCCAUCUCCAGUAAUUCUAAGCAGACUAGUUACCAAGGCUGGCUUGAAGCCAGGGCUUAAUGAAAAUAUAUUUAACCAACUGCAUGAAUAAGUGUAUAAAAGAAGAAGAAAAAUUAUGUAACCUAAUCUUCGACAAAAUAGCAAUCACUCCUCACUUUGACUAUAAUAGAAAAAAAGACAGAAUAACGGGAUUCGUAAACUACAAAGGAGAACCGCUAAGAAAAAUUGCUGAUCAGGGAAAUUGUAAAAAAUUACAAGCAGCCAAUUUGUUAUGCGUUUUCCGCGGGAAGCACUCCAAACCAAGUUUUGGCAUGUAUUAUAAAAAAAUAUAAUAAAAGAACUCCAAAAUA